This 339-nucleotide ribosomal RNA is filed under the name Orbilia cladodes. RNAcentral describes it as "Arthrobotrys cladodes partial large subunit ribosomal RNA". The record is from RNAcentral. Lineage: Eukaryota; Fungi; Ascomycota; Orbiliomycetes; Orbiliales; Orbiliaceae.
CUAGGUGGCAGUUUAUGCGGGGCACAGAUCCCAUAAAGAGUAGCUGGGUAUAUCCUAAUUCCGAAAAAUUUGGGGAAAAAAUUAUAUAUUUUCUUUUGAGUCUUUAUUUAAUAUAUAAAUUUUAUAUAAAUUUAAUAUUUCGCCGAUCGCUUAUGGCGGUUGACCGAUUUUUAAGAUGAAUUUAUAGAUAAGUAGAUAAGAUAUAUUACUUAUCUCUAUCUAUAUUUAAUCACUAUCUUUUUAUUUAAAAUAAAUUUUAAUUUUAAAGCAAGUAAGAUUUUAACUAUAUCGAGGAUAGGUGUAAUAAAUAAAAUUCACAUUUUCUAAUCUUCUGGGCAC